UACAGAGGGUGCGAGCGUUAAUCGGAAUUACUGGGCGUAAAGCGCGCGUAGGCGGCUUUGCAAGUCGGGUGUGAAAUCCCCAGGCUUAACCUGGGAACUGCAUUCGAGACUGCAUUGCUAGAGUAUGGGAGAGGGAAGUGGAAUUUCCGGUGUAGCGGUGAAAUGCGUAGAUAUCGGAAGGAACAUCAGUGGCGAAGGCGACUUCCUGGACCAUUACUGACACUGAGGCACGAAAGCGUGGGGAGCGAACAGG
RNAcentral lists this ribosomal RNA (253 nucleotides) under uncultured bacterium. RNAcentral describes it as "partial 16S ribosomal RNA". It matches the Rfam family "Bacterial small subunit ribosomal RNA", at positions 524 to 776 of the family's 1533-position model. The record is from RNAcentral.